This 253-nucleotide ribosomal RNA is filed under the name uncultured bacterium. Its description in RNAcentral is "partial 16S ribosomal RNA". It matches the Rfam family "Bacterial small subunit ribosomal RNA", at positions 524 to 776 of the family's 1533-position model. The record is from RNAcentral.
UACGUAGGGGGCAAGCGUUGUCCGGAUUUACUGGGUGUAAAGGGCGUGUAGCCGGGCUGACAAGUCAGAUGUGAAAUUCCGGGGCUCAACCCCGGACCUGCAUUUGAAACUGUUGGUCUUGAGUAUCGGAGAGGCAGGCGGAAUUCCUAGUGUAGCGGUGAAAUGCGUAAAUAUAUGUAAGAACACCAGUGGCGAAGGCGGCUUGCUGGGUCGAUACUGACAUUGAGGCACGAAAGCGUGGGGAGCAAACAGG